This 98-nucleotide non-coding RNA is filed under the name human gut metagenome. RNAcentral's name for it is "NiCo riboswitch". It matches the Rfam family "NiCo (Nickel/Cobalt) riboswitch aptamer". The record is from RNAcentral.
ACAGUACAAACUGAGCAGGCGAUGCACCAUAUUCAGCAUGGGGCCGGGUUGCUGAGAAAGCGACAGCAGAUGAUGACGAUACACAUCUGUGGGACAGU